This 483-nucleotide ribosomal RNA is filed under the name uncultured bacterium. RNAcentral describes it as "bacterial SSU rRNA". It matches the Rfam family "Bacterial small subunit ribosomal RNA", at positions 28 to 507 of the family's 1533-position model. The record is from RNAcentral.
GACGAACGCUGGCGGCGUGCCUAACACAUGCAAGUCGAGCGAAGAAUACAUAAAGAAAUCUUCGGAUGGAAUUAUGUAUUUCUUAGCGGCGGACGGGUGAGUAACGCGUGAGGAACCUGCCUUGUACUAGGGGAUAGCCUCGGGAAACCGGGAUUAAUACCCUAUGACACUUGAAAGUCGCAUGACUUUCAAGUCAAAGCGAUUUAGCGGUACAAGAUGGCCUCGCGUCCCAUUAGCUAGUUGGCGAGGUAAUAGCUCACCAAGGCGACGAUGGGUAGCCGGCCUGAGAGGGUGAACGGCCACACUGGAACUGAGACACGGUCCAGACUCCUACGGGAGGCAGCAGUGGGGAAGUAUUGCACAAUGGAGGAAACUCUGAUGCAGCGACGCCGCGUGAGCGAUGAAGGUUUUCGUAAUCGUAAAGCUCUGUCCUAAGGGACGAUAAUGACGGUACCUUAGGAGGAAGCCCCGGCUAACUACGUG